AUUGAACGCUGGCGGCAGGCCUAACACAUGCAAGUCGAGCGGAUGAAGGGAGCUUGCUCCUGGAUUCAGCGGCGGACGGGUGAGUAAUGCCUAGGAAUCUGCCUGGUAGUGGGGGAUAACGUCCGGAAACGGGCGCUAAUACCGCAUACGUCCUGAGGGAGAAAGUGGGGGAUCUUCGGACCUCACGCUAUCAGAUGAGCCUAGGUCGGAUUAGCUAGUUGGUUGGGUAAAGGCCUACCAAGGCGACGAUCCGUAACUGGUCUGAGAGGAUGAUCAGUCACACUGGAACUGAGACACGGUACAGACUACUACGGGAGGAAGCAGUGGGGAAUAUUGGACAAUGGGCGAAAGCCUGAUCCAGCCAUGCCGCGUGUGUGAAGAAGGUCUUCGGAUUGUAAAGCACUUUAAGUUGGGAGGAAGGGCAGUAAGUUAAUACCUUGCUGUUUUGACGUUACCAACAGAAUAAGAACCGGCUAACUUCGUG
Molecule: ribosomal RNA, 484 nt
Filed under: uncultured bacterium
Lineage: Bacteria
Description: partial 16S ribosomal RNA
Rfam family: Bacterial small subunit ribosomal RNA
Source: RNAcentral